RNAcentral lists this unclassified non-coding RNA (504 nucleotides) under Hevea brasiliensis (rubber tree). The record is from RNAcentral. Lineage: Eukaryota; Viridiplantae; Streptophyta; Magnoliopsida; Malpighiales; Euphorbiaceae.
GGGCUUCAUUUGUUGAUCGGAAAAUAGAUAAACUACCUUUAUCAGUCACCGGAGAAGAGAAACAAAGAAGAGAUUGUUCGUUUGGAUCUACGAGCUAUGGCUACUGCGUUGACGAGACGCGCAUCCUCGAUCGUUUUCGCAAUCGUCCUAUUAGGGAGCUUGUUUGCAUUCUCUAUAGCUAAAGAAGAAGCUACCAAGUUAGGAACUGUUAUCGGUAUAGAUCUUGGAACAACUUAUUCUUGUGUUGGAGUUUACAAGAAUGGACAUGUUGAGAUCAUAGCAAAUGACCAAGGUAAUCGUAUCACCCCUUCAUGGGUAGCCUUCACUGAUGGUGAGAGACUGAUCGGUGAAGCAGCUAAAAAUCAAGCAGCUGUUAAUCCAGAGAGGACCGUCUUUGACGUCAAAAGACUUAUCGGGAGAAAGUUUGAAGACAAAGAAGUACAAAGGGACAUGAAACUUGUUCCCUAUAAGAUUGUUAACAAGGAUGGGAAACCUUAUAUCCAA